AACGAACGCUGGCGGCAUGCCUAACACAUGCAAGUCGAACGAUCCCUUCGUGCAUAGUUGCGCACGUCUGCUUACCACCUGGUAACCUGCCCUUAGGUUCCGUAUACCUCAGAGAGAUUUGAGCUCAUACCGGAUAAUGUCUUCGGACCUAAGAUUUAUCGCCUUUGGAUGGGCCCGCGUUGGUUUCGCUGGUUGGUGGGGUAAAGGCCUAUCAACGCGACGAUCCAUAGCUGGUCUGAGAGGAGGAUCAGCCACACUGGCACUGAGACACGGCCCAGAAUGCGACGGGAGGCAGCAGAGGGGAAUAUUGGACAAUGGGCGAAAGCCUGAUCCAGCAAUGCCGCGUGAGAGAUGAAGGCCGUAGGGUUGUAAAGCUGUUUUACCCGGGAUGAUAAUGACAGUACCGGGAGAAUAAGCCCCGGCUAACUACGUG
RNAcentral lists this ribosomal RNA (433 nucleotides) under uncultured bacterium. Its description in RNAcentral is "partial 16S ribosomal RNA". It matches the Rfam family "Bacterial small subunit ribosomal RNA", at positions 29 to 507 of the family's 1533-position model. The record is from RNAcentral.